RNAcentral lists this long non-coding RNA (512 nucleotides) under Homo sapiens (human). Its description in RNAcentral is "non-protein coding LINC02259:3". The record is from RNAcentral. Lineage: Eukaryota; Metazoa; Chordata; Mammalia; Primates; Hominidae.
GGCGGGGCGGGGCCUGCUCGAGUGAGGCCGGGAGCGGACCGCAGCCCGCUGGAGGUGCCGGGGGCGAAAUGCUGGCGUCUGCUCCUCCGUCUCCCAGAAUCCUGCCCUGGAAAAAACCAGCGCCAACCGCCGGUUUAACUGAGGACGGAUUUAAGGCAUUACGAAAGACAGCUUUCCCCUUUGCUCGGCUCUCCUUCUCUCUCCUGCUGCCCUGUGAAGAGGUGUCUUCUGCCAUAAUUGAAGAGGAAGACAGAGCUCUUACCAGGGGGAGGCAGAGAUGGCACAGCAAGAGACAUGCCCCCAGAAUGCCACCAAUGCCCCAGGACAGGCCCACCCAUGGGACCAGGUUAUCGGGAUAACCUGGGAGGAUGGGGUGGAAUCUGAGGGGUGAGCCUUCUUCCCCAGGCUGGAAGUGGGCGACACGAGACUGGCACCUCUACAUCUGAUUGUCCCCCAAACCCAGCAUUUAUGUCGUGAGCAAAGAAAGAAAUCAUGUUACUUCUUCCAGCUGA